RNAcentral lists this ribosomal RNA (370 nucleotides) under uncultured bacterium. RNAcentral's name for it is "partial 16S ribosomal RNA". It matches the Rfam family "Bacterial small subunit ribosomal RNA", at positions 338 to 705 of the family's 1533-position model. The record is from RNAcentral.
CCUACGUGCGGCAGCAGUGAGGAAUAUUGGUCAAUGGGCUUACGCCUGAACCAGCCAAGUCGCGUGAGGGAAGACUGCCCUAUGGGUUGUAAACCUCUUUUGUCAGGGAGCAAUUGGCGCUACGUGUAGCGUUAUCGAGAGUACCUGAAGAAAAAGCAUCGGCUAACUCCGGGCCAGCAGCCGCGGUAAUACGGAGGAUGCGAGCGUUAUCCGGAUUUAUUUGGUUUAGAGGGUGCGUAGGCGGAAUGCCAAGUCAGCGGUAAAAUCGCGGGGCUCAACCUCGCUCCGCCGUUGAAACUGGCGUUCGUGAGUGGGCGAGAAGUAUGCGGAAUGCGUGGUGUAGCGGUGAAAUGCAUAGAUAGCACGCAGA